RNAcentral lists this ribosomal RNA (1175 nucleotides) under uncultured organism. Its description in RNAcentral is "bacterial SSU rRNA". It matches the Rfam family "Bacterial small subunit ribosomal RNA", at positions 199 to 1380 of the family's 1533-position model. The record is from RNAcentral.
GAUUAAAGCUCCGGCGGUUAGAGAUGGGCAUGCGUGUCAUUAGCUAGUUGGUGAGGUAACGGCUCACCAAGGCCACGAUGACUAGGGGGUCUGAGAGGAUGAUCCCCCACACUGGUACUGAGACACGGACCAGACUCCUACGGGAGGCAGCAGUGAGGAAUAUUGGGCAAUGGACGCAAGUCUGACCCAGCCAUGCCGCGUGCAGGAUGACUGCCCUAUGGGUUGUAAACUGCUUUUGUUUGGGAAGAAACCCCCGAUCGUGAUCGGGGCUGACGGUACCAUACGAAUAAGCAUCGGCUAACUCCGUGCCAGCAGCCGCGGUAAUACGGAGGAUGCAAGCGUUAUCCGGAUUCAUUGGGUUUAAAGGGUGCGCAGGCGGAAUAUUAAGUCAGUGGUGAAAUCCUGCAGCUUAACUGUAGAACUGCCAUUGAUACUGAUAUUCUUGAAUAUAGUUGAGGUAGGCGGAAUGUGUAAUGUAGCGGUGAAAUGCUUAGAUAUUACACAGAACACCAAUUGCGAAGGCAGCUCACUAAACUAAUAUUGACGCUGAGGCACGAAAGCGUGGGUAGCAAACAGGAUUAGAUACCCUGGUAGUCCACGCUGUAAACUAUGAUCACUCGCUGUUGGCAAUACAUCGUCAGCGGCUGAGCGAAAGCAUUAAGUGAUCCACCUGGGGAGUACGGUCGCAAGAUUGAAACUCAAAGGAAUUGACGGGGGCCCGCACAAGCGGAGGAACAUGUGGUUUAAUUCGAUGAUACGCGAGGAACCUUACCUGGGCUUAAAUGCAGAGCGACGUCCGCCGAAAGGUGGAUUCCUUCGGGCGAUCUGCAAGGUGCUGCAUGGUUGUCGUCAGCUCGUGCCGUGAGGUGUCGGGUUAAGUCCCAUAACGAGCGCAACCCUUAUCGUUAGUUGCCAGCGGGUAAUGCCGGGGACUCUAACGAAACUGCCGGCGUAAACCGUGAGGAAGGUGGGGAUGACGCCAAAUCAGCACGGCCCUUAUGUCCAGGGCUACACACGUGUUACAAUGGUCGGUACAGAGGGCAGCUACCACGCGAGUGGAUGCUAAUCUCGAAAACCGGUCUCAGUUCGGAUUGAAGUCUGCAACUCGACUUCAUGAAGCUGGAUUCGCUAGUAAUCGCGCAUCAGCCAUGGCGCGGUGAAUACGUUCCCGGGCC